Homo sapiens (human) is the source of this 1607-nucleotide long non-coding RNA. Ensembl annotates it as GUSB pseudogene 1. Its record names the gene GUSBP1. The record is from Ensembl. Lineage: Eukaryota; Metazoa; Chordata; Mammalia; Primates; Hominidae.
AGUUUGGGCUGUCUCUGUGGCUGGUUCUGCGGCGUGCGGCCAGCCAUGGAGCGCUCUGGGCCCAGCGAAGUGACAGGCUCAGACGCAUCGGGACCGGACCCGCAGCUUGCGGUCACCAUGGGCUUCACGGGGUUCGGUAAAAAAGCUCGCACAUUUGACUUGGAAGCAAUGUUUGAACAAACUCGAAGAACAGCUGUGGAAAGAAGUUGCAAAACACUGGGCCACCAGGAACACACCUGUAGCCCAGCAAAGUUGAGGCCAUCAACUGGCUCAUCACAACAAGGAAGGCUGUGCACCACUGGGACCCAGCAGCAGCUCAGCAGCAGCAGUGAAAGGGCCUUGGGAAAGACUCGGAGGGUUUGGCUUAUACAAGGCCAGAUUACAGAGGGGUAUUGAUUUGCCUUGCCCCCGCCCCCACCAUCACAGUGUGUCCCUGUCCAGUGUUGGUGCUGUGUGGCAUUGGCUUGUGUCCAUAGGAGUCCAUCAAGGCAGAGCGGCAGAGUGGGAAGGCAGUUCAACCCAAUGGAAAUGGAUUGAAAGAGUGAAAGUCACUGGUCUCAAAGAAUCUACGGAAUUUAGCAUUUUGAAAAUCACAUAGCAAUUUUGGGUAGGUAUUCACCUGCACUAAAAAACCAGGCAAACAUCCGACUCCCAGGAUAAAGUGACUGAGAGCAGUAGAAGACUUGUUGAGCCUUAAGGAAUAAGAGGAAAAUUACGUUAUGAAGUGCAGGAACAGCACAGACCCAGACGAGGGGACGCAGCCCGGAGCCAGUAACCCGGCGCCACCUCCUCCCCAGGGCGCAGCGCUGGCUGAUCCCCAGAUACCGUGAUCACACGUCCCGGGUCCUGAGAGCGCCUCAUAGGUAGACAGUUCUUUGGGACUUCUGGGAUGCAGCACUUGAAGAGAGGUUUACCUAAACUUUCCUCCUGGGAGCCUGUGAUCAUUUGAAAGUAACAGAAGAAAGUUGUCAGGCUGAGGAAAGUUUCAACAGGCACUUGGUGAGAAUGGGAAGCAUCCAUUCAUUGUGAAAUCGCGGGGACAGAGGAGGAAUUCACGGGAUCAGAGCACUGAGAAACUCCAGAGGCUUCUGGUUCACCGCCCUGAUUCCACAGAUGUGGGUCAGAGGCAGAGAUGGAAGUUGGAAUGGACAAGCCUGCCCUCUCCUUGGCUCUCCAUGGCUCUGUCCUCAGGCUGUUUCUGCAAUUUGACAUGAGGCCUGGCCCCAGGGAAACCAGUGGGGCCUCAUCUCCUCCCUGUGCUGCUCUGAGGUGGAGCCUUCUCAGGGUCAGUCCAGCUCUGGAGCCCCUCUCCAGCUCGGUCACCAAAGCUGUCUGGUCCCAGGGCGGUGCUGAGUGACAGGCAUGCCAGCCAAUCCAAUCGGCAAUUUCAUAUCCAAUGCAUGUGACUGAUAAAGAGAUAACGCCCUGUCUCCAAGACACAGGCUUUACAUAAACAGCUUUAAUGACUUCUUCACUUAGAGACAAGACUCCUUAGUGGUGGAACCUCAGGCAUCCGUGCAGGACGUAAGAAAGCUGCCGUAUAUACAUGAACUGAGAAGUGUGUAGAAGAAUAAAUACUGUAAUAGGUAAUAAAAUGUAUGUAUUUU